AGCAGCUCAUUGGGUGUAAAGCGUGCGCAGGCGGUUUUGUAAGACAGAGGUGAAAUCCCCGGGCUCAACCUGGGAACUGCCUUUGUGACUGCAAGGCUGGAGUGCGGCAGAGGGGGAUGGAAUUCCGCGUGUAGCAGUGAAAUGCGUAGAUAUGCGGAGGAACACCGAUGGCGAAGGCAAUCCCCUGGGCCUGCACUGACGCUCAUGCACGAAAGCGUAGGGAGCAAACA
Molecule: ribosomal RNA, 230 nt
Filed under: uncultured Alicycliphilus sp.
Lineage: Bacteria; Pseudomonadati; Pseudomonadota; Betaproteobacteria; Burkholderiales; Comamonadaceae
Description: partial 16S ribosomal RNA
Rfam family: Bacterial small subunit ribosomal RNA
Source: RNAcentral